Molecule: signal recognition particle RNA, 274 nt
Filed under: Candidatus Aenigmatarchaeota archaeon
Lineage: Archaea; Nanobdellati; Candidatus Aenigmatarchaeota
Description: signal recognition particle sRNA
Rfam family: Archaeal signal recognition particle RNA
Source: RNAcentral
GCAGGGACUAGAAUGGGGGGUUUGGCGUCCCCUGUUGCCAUAAACCGCCAUCACGAUGGAUUCGAAGCCUGAAGGAGGUAUUGGGAUAUCUUAAGACCCCAUGCCCCUGACGUCGAAGCUCUGUCCCGCAGGGUCGUUGGUUUGAUGAACCAGGUCAGGACCGGAAGGUAGCAGCCUUAAGUCAUGUUAAUGACGCUUACGGGGUAGCGGAGUGGAGGAAGGGGUUUGGACAAGUCUUUCGCGAUUCCAGUAUCGACUGAUGGCGUGUUCCUGC